UAAGCUAUACCUCACAAAAAUCUAGCACUAAAUACACUUCGUGUAUCUUUUGUUUAUUAUAUUAACGAACAAAAGUACAAUUUUCUAUUUCAAAAUGAUUUUUCAGGUAUGAAAAUCACAAUGCUUAGGGGUGAGACAGUCCAAAUUAUUCAAAAUUGUGAUACACUAUUACACUUACUUGCAACUUAUGCAUAGAACCAUUACAUGACAUUUUGGCACCUUCAUCUUUUAUUAGUUUCCUGCUUUGACGGUCGUUUUAGUAUAUUAUUUUAAUUUUUUCGAAAAGUCUUACAUUGUAUUCCUCAUAAUAUUAAAUUAACUGUAUCAAGGCUGUAAUCUUUAAACAUGAAAGAUAAGAGGAAAAUAUCAAAAGAAUUAUCAAACUCAUUAUUUGGAAGUGAAAAUAACAACUCCAUGGCAGAAGAACGUGAAAAACAGCAUUACGACAAACUUCACUCUACAAAAAAAAAAAUAAAAAAAUGAGCAACACGAACUCCACCAAAAACUGGGGGAUGAUCUCAGUUGAUUUGAAAGGGUAAACAACCCCGCGCAACAAAAAACGACAGAGAUUUCAAAUUUAAAGUUCAAUCAACUCAUAUGAAACAGAUGGCGUUUUUUUUUUAAACUUUGUUAAAUAAUUGUGGCUAAGACAAUAUGAACGUAUCCGUCGCCAUCUUCAUAUAACGG
Molecule: long non-coding RNA, 687 nt
Filed under: Mytilus galloprovincialis (Mediterranean mussel)
Lineage: Eukaryota; Metazoa; Mollusca; Bivalvia; Mytilida; Mytilidae
Source: RNAcentral